UCCUGCGGAGACGCGGGAGUGCCUUCGGGAACUGUAAGACAGGUGCUGCAUGGCUGUCGUCAGCUCGUGUUGUGAAAUGUUGGGUUAAGUCCCGCAACGAGCGCAACCCUUAUCCUUGUUUGCCAGCACGUAAUGGUGGGAACUCCAGGGAGACUGCCGGUGAUAAACCGGAGGAAGGUGGGGACGACGUCAAGUCAUCAUGGCCCUUACGAGUAGGGCUACACACGUGCUACAAUGGCGCAUACAGAGGGCAGCAAGCUAGCGAUAGUGAGCGAAUCCCAAAAAGUGCGUCGUAGUCCGGAUUGGAGUCUGCAACUCGACUCCAUGAAGUCGGAAUCGCUAGUAAUCGUAGAUCAGAAUGCUACGGUGAAUACGUUCCCGGGCCUUGUACACACCGCCCGUCACACCAUGGGAGUGGGCUGCAAAAGAAGUGGGUAGUUUAACCUUUCGGGGAGGACGCUCACCACUUUGUGGUUCAUGACUGGGGUGAAGUCGUAACAAGGUAGCGCUAGGGGAACCUGGCGCUGGAUCACCUCCUUAUACGAAGAU
Molecule: ribosomal RNA, 549 nt
Filed under: Vibrio sp. A14(2019)
Lineage: Bacteria; Pseudomonadati; Pseudomonadota; Gammaproteobacteria; Vibrionales; Vibrionaceae
Description: bacterial SSU rRNA
Rfam family: Bacterial small subunit ribosomal RNA
Source: RNAcentral